UGCGAAUGGCUCAUUAAAUCAGUUAUCGUUUAUUUGAUAGUACCUUGCUACAUGGAUACCUGUGGUAAUUCUAGAGCUAAUACAUGCUAAAAACCUCGACUUCGGAAGGGGUGUAUUUAUUAGAUAAAAAACCAAUGCCCUUCGGGGCUCCUUGGUGAAUCAUAAUAACUUAACGAAUCGCAUGGCCUUGCGCCGGCGAUGGUUCAUUCAAAUUUCUGCCCUAUCAACUUUCGAUGGUAGGAUAGUGGCCUACCAUGGUAGCAACGGGUAACGGGGAAUUAGGGUUCUAUUCCGGAGAGGGAGCCUGAGAAACGGCUACCACAUCCAAGGAAGGCAGCAGGCGCGCAAAUUACCCAAUCCCGAUACGGGGAGGUAGUGACAAUAAAUACUGAUACAGGGCUCUUUUGGGUCUUGUAAUUGGAAUGAGUACAAUUUAAAUCCCUUAACGAGGAACAAUUGGAGGGCAAGUCUGGUGCCAGCAGCCGCGGUAAUUCCAGCUCCAAUAGCGUAUAUUAAAGUUGUUGCAGUUAAAAAGCUCGUAGUUGAACCUUGGGCCUGGCUGGCCGGUCCGCCUCACCGCGUGUACUGGUCCGGCCGGGCCUUUCCUUCUGGGGAGCCGCAUGCCCUUCACUGGGCGUGUCGGGGAACCAGGACUUUUACUGUGAAAAAAUUAGAGUGUUCAAAGCAGGCCUUUGCUCGAAUACAUUAGCAUGGAAUAAUAGAAUAGGACGUGCGGUUCUAUUUUGUUGGUUUCUAGGGCCGCCGUAAUGAUUAAUAGGGAUAGUCGGGGGCAUUAGUAUUCAAUUGUCAGAGGUGAAAUUCUUGGAUUUAUUGAAGACUAACUACUGCGAAAGCAUCUGCCAAGGAUGUUUUCAUUAAUCAGGAACGAAAGUUAGGGGAUCGAAGACGAUCAGAUACCGUCGUAGUCUUAACCAUAAACUAUGCCGACUAGGGAUCGGUGGGUGUUACUAUUAUGACCCCAUCGGCACCUUACGAGAAAUCAAAGUUU
This 1009-nucleotide ribosomal RNA is filed under the name Davidiellaceae sp. CBS 117950. Its description in RNAcentral is "SSU rRNA". It matches the Rfam family "Eukaryotic small subunit ribosomal RNA", at positions 88 to 1106 of the family's 1831-position model. Lineage: Eukaryota; Fungi; Ascomycota; Dothideomycetes; Cladosporiales; Cladosporiaceae. The record is from RNAcentral.